GUAUUCAUUUUAUGUUUUGUAUAACAUUUUUGUUAUAUAGAAUUUAUAAAGAUAUGAAGUUUCCUAUAAUUAUUAUUAGGUACUUUGAAAACUAUAGCUUUUUAUAUUAUAGAAAUGUUUGAGUUUUUAUAUAUAACUAGUAGAAAAGUAUUCGAAUGAAACCUAGUUUCUCCUUAUGCUGAUUUAUACUUGUUGUUGUAUAGAAAUUAGUUUUUAUAAUAUAUAAGAGUUCAUAAACCAUAUAAAGUAUUUUAUCGUAGAUAAUUUACUUUGAA
RNAcentral lists this unclassified non-coding RNA (275 nucleotides) under Rhizophydium brooksianum. RNAcentral describes it as "partial internal transcribed spacer 2". Lineage: Eukaryota; Fungi; Chytridiomycota; Chytridiomycetes; Rhizophydiales; Rhizophydiaceae. The record is from RNAcentral.